RNAcentral lists this long non-coding RNA (207 nucleotides) under Nicotiana benthamiana. Its description in RNAcentral is "long non-coding RNA (NBEN_LNC028952)". Lineage: Eukaryota; Viridiplantae; Streptophyta; Magnoliopsida; Solanales; Solanaceae. The record is from RNAcentral.
UCUAGUAUCAGGGUUGUAGGAUAGGGGCUCCUAGAGUUUUUCGUACUCCUCACCCGGGGUUGGGUGAGGCUUGACAGCGCUAUCCAUAGAUGAUGUGUGUAUUGGAUUGUGUCUCCCUUAUAGUAGUUAUUUGAUAGUUAUUUAUGGUAGUUACUGUCUGAUAUUAUUGUAUGCUAUUUUAGUUAUGGUUCUUAUGCUUAGAUAGUU